CCCAUUUGAUUCUGCAAAAGGGUACUUGCGAGCCCUCUGAAAUUGUAUUAUAGGAGUAAUUAAAAGGCACUGUCCUUUUCUUGUUCAUUUUUCUAUUCCUAAUAAAUAUUUUUUGUUUUGAUUCAUUUUGUAUAAUCCUUUAUUUUAUGUUGUGAUUCAGCUAUUUAAUUAUUCAUAUAGGAAAGUUUUGAUAUUUAUUUCAGGAAUAUAUAUAUUGAUUGAUGAGAAGCAAAAAUGGUGGUUUCUUGAAUUUUUAUCAAGAAAAGUUGUUCCCUUUAGAGGUUAAAGAUUCAAUCUUUUUCGCUGUUGAGGUGAUUUGGGGUUUCCUUAUUUGGCUUUCUUUCCAAUUGGGUGUUUUGAAUUUUCUACGGGGGAUUUUUUGAAUUGAUUUUAUUACCAUAUCAAGAAUUGGAUUCUGUGAAGUGGGUAUUUUAUUCAGAGGGAAGUUCAAAGGAAUUCUAUUUAAUGCCAGUUGAUUGGAAGCUAUUGGCAGCCAGCCAUUUUCGAUAUCUAUUGAUUUGGAGAAUGCUGAUAAAUGAAUCAUGAGUAGUAAGGCUAAGGC
Molecule: long non-coding RNA, 562 nt
Filed under: Nicotiana tabacum (common tobacco)
Lineage: Eukaryota; Viridiplantae; Streptophyta; Magnoliopsida; Solanales; Solanaceae
Description: long non-coding RNA (NTAB_LNC016429)
Source: RNAcentral